RNAcentral lists this ribosomal RNA (278 nucleotides) under uncultured bacterium. Its description in RNAcentral is "partial 16S ribosomal RNA". It matches the Rfam family "Bacterial small subunit ribosomal RNA", at positions 399 to 691 of the family's 1533-position model. The record is from RNAcentral.
GCGUGAAGGACGAAGGCCUUCGGGUUGUAAACUUCUUUGAUCAGGGACGAAAGCGAUGACGGUACCUGAGGAACAAGCCACGGCUAACUACGUGCCAGCAGCCGCGGUAAUACGUAGGUGGCAAGCGUUAUCCGGAUUUACUGGGUGUAAAGGGCGUGCAGGCGGUCUGGCAAGUCGGAUGUUUAAUCCCCGGGCUUAACCCGGGGCGGUCGUCCGAAACUGCCGGACUUGAGUACUGGAGAGGAUAGUGGAAUUCCUAGUGUAGCGGUAAAAUGCGU